Molecule: RNA transcript, 1252 nt
Organism: Oryzias melastigma (Indian medaka)
Lineage: Eukaryota; Metazoa; Chordata; Actinopteri; Beloniformes; Adrianichthyidae
Gene name: centromere protein P
Exons: 10
Source: RefSeq, a predicted model, not a curated record
AGAAACCUGCACCCCCCUCUGAGACACGCGGAGUGGAAGAGUCCAGAGCGCGCGAGGCUCAAACCUGGUGUAGCUUUCCCCAAUAAACUCGACAUUUUCACGGUUUUACUUCAAAGUAGCCCCAACAGCAACAAGAUACCGUAAACAUUCAAACCAGAAGAGUGUUCCUUAAACUGACCACAUCAGGGAUUAGUGAAUGGCGACGAUGCAGGAGAAGACCGGGGAGGAGAACGGGGAUGAGGUGAAGAUGCUGGAGGGUCACAUUGAAGACCUGCGAGCUGAAAUAGCAUCACUGCAGCGUCAGAAAGAAGAACUCAACAGGGACUCGAUGCUCCACUUUGAAGGAGCCAUGCUGGACGCUCUGCUCAUUGUGGGUGGGCAGACCCAAAACAGAGACGAGGAGACGGUGAUGUUCAAGCUGAAGGAGGAGGUGGAGGAACUGGAGAAGGACCUGCAUCUGCAGACUGAGAUGAACGGCAUCAGUGUGGACGACUGCAAGAUAAAAACUCUCUUUAGUAGUGGCAGGGAGUGGACCCAUCAGGUCUGCGUAUCACUUCAGUGCUCUCAAAUGGUUUUACAAGUGGACUUCCAAAUCACUGAGACUAAAGUCGGUCGUGGUUCUGAGAAGAAAAUCGUUGGUCUAAAUGUGGUGUUGGACUCGGAUGAACUUCAGAAUUUCAGUGGUUUCCUUUCAAGGGUGGAAGAGAGCUUGGACCUUCCGCUGCUCUUCAGGACUUUGAGGAACUUCUCGGACCGAUGUGAUGAGCGAAGCAGAACCUUCCAGCAUUUUCAAGAGACGUUUCCCUCCGUGGCGUCUCUUCCUGGAGGCUGCAGGUCAGAGGUGAUGGUCCUGAGGCGUCCUGAGCUUCCAGGCUGCGUCCUCUUCAUCCACUGGGCAGUUGAAAUAUCCACUGAGGGAACGGUCGUGCCAAAGAUCAACCUGCUGACCAAACUCCCAGAACAGGGACAAACUGAGUGUUGGGGAACAAAUCAGAGACUCAGAGCGGGGAAACACUUUCUGGCAGGGGGAACGUAGCUUUGCACCACACCGGUAACAGAACAAGCUCGGAGACCCCAGAGUUCCUGUCGUGACCUGCAGGAACAUCAAGUCAAAGUUGCUCUGGAGCGGUUCCCCUCUCAGCCUGUGGGCGGCGCCGCUGAGGCCUUCCAGAGCCUGCUGAGGAUGCUGGGAGCUGAAGGCGCCGUGGAGAGCGUCCUGAGAGCGCUGGUAUCUCCUGUGGGGGGGAGGAGC